UACCUACGGGAGGCAGCAGUGGGGAAUAUUGCACAAUGGGGGAAACCCUGAUGCAGCGACGCCGCGUGAGCGAGGAAGUAUUUCGGUAUGUAAAGCUCUAUCAGCAGGGAAGAAAAUGACGGUACCUGACUAAGAAGCCCCGGCUAACCACGUGCCAGCAGCCGCGGUAAUACGUAGGGGGCAAGCGUUAUCCGGAUUUACUGGGGGUAAAGGGAGCGUAGACGGUCCUGCAAGCCAGAUGUGAAAGCACGGGGCUCAACCCCGGGACUGCAUUUGGAACUGGAAGGGU
RNAcentral lists this ribosomal RNA (289 nucleotides) under uncultured bacterium. RNAcentral's name for it is "partial 16S ribosomal RNA". It matches the Rfam family "Bacterial small subunit ribosomal RNA", at positions 335 to 642 of the family's 1533-position model. The record is from RNAcentral.